CUUGAACGGUGUUGAAGUACUCUAACGCUUAAUUAUGAUCCGCUCCACACUUCGGGCAAUCUACAUAUAUUCGACGAAGGCAUCGAUAAAUAAACCGUACUCACAUAACAUCAAAAUAAAGUCAACAACAAAGAAUUUAAUGAAAACUCAACUAACAGAAAAUUUGAAUAGAUAUUUAUUAUCUACAUGAUAGUGGGAGCACAAAGCAAAAAGAAAUAAUUAAAUUAGAUGAACGGUUUGCAAAAUAUGGCCUCCGGAAGGUUUGAAAUAAAUCUGAUCCAACUAAAAUUUUAAACAAUGAUGACCUGAAAACUAUUAGCUCUGUCAAACUCUACUCGUCAAUACGAGAUCACAGGAAAAAUAAUUUCUUGAUCCGGAGAUACGAAUCAAAAGUUAAACAAGUUUUAAAAUCUUACCGAGAAUCUGACCGAUCUAAAAACAGCUUAAAAAUAGGUUUAAUAUGGGUACUGUAGCAAAUCGUGGAUUGGCUGAAUCGGAUCGUGUGCACGUGCUUACCACGAACAACAGAGGAAAACGGGUUGGUCUCGGGCGUGGCUCCUCCGCGGUAGUGCUCCGGUGACGGUCAACACAAACUCCGACGAACUCCGUCGACGGCGGCUAACUUCGACGAAGACGAGGUUGCGGUGGACUCCGGCGAACGGCGACAGUGCUACUGGAGGUUGCUCCGGCGAGAUGAGGUAGACCGGGGCAGGGAAAUCGUUGACAGGGGACAAUCGGGCCAGGAACGGAUCGGGGAAAGAAAAAAAAGAGUCUGAGGCCUCGGUCCCUGGGACUUUGUCACUCGCGAGAGGAAUCCUGGGCGCACACGAAAACGGCUCGGGGAAGGAGUCCUGGGAGAAAACAAGGUUGACGGCAUCAGUAGGACUCCGGCUCGCUCGGUGUGGCUGUGCG
Molecule: long non-coding RNA, 912 nt
Filed under: Hordeum vulgare
Lineage: Eukaryota; Viridiplantae; Streptophyta; Magnoliopsida; Poales; Poaceae
Description: long non-coding RNA (HVUL_LNC019210)
Source: RNAcentral